UUCUAUGGCUGAUAUAGUCAGAUGAUUGAUAACUCCACAUUUUGAUCACCAUUAUGGAUCGUUUUUAAGCAUUUUAAAUAUAUAUAUUUUUAAGUGUUAUUAUUAUGGUUUUCUAGUAUUUAUAGUUUGAAUACUAUUUUCAGGAAAUUUAGACAAAAGCUUUGCAAACUAGAUAGAAGACCACAUUUUCAUCUCAGAGUCAAACCGUCAUAAGCUCACCCACAAAUGAAGACCUUCUCAACGUAUGAUCCAGCUCAAAUUUGUAGAUCUUGAAGAUGAAUCAGAUAGCUUCCUGCACAUUUGACAUGAGGACAAUCCACGGUUCAAUCAAAAGUUACGCGAAGAACAAGAAGUCCAUUCAAGCAACAGGCCAGCCUUCCGGACCGCAGCCAGCACAUGAUUUACCACAGCCAGAGAGCCCAUGACCGCGGAGAAUCAACGUUCAGCCUCAGAAGCCCAAUUUCAAGC
Molecule: long non-coding RNA, 468 nt
Filed under: Eutrema salsugineum
Lineage: Eukaryota; Viridiplantae; Streptophyta; Magnoliopsida; Brassicales; Brassicaceae
Description: long non-coding RNA (ESAL_LNC000249)
Source: RNAcentral